This 253-nucleotide ribosomal RNA is filed under the name uncultured bacterium. RNAcentral describes it as "partial 16S ribosomal RNA". It matches the Rfam family "Bacterial small subunit ribosomal RNA", at positions 524 to 776 of the family's 1533-position model. The record is from RNAcentral.
UACGUAGGGGGCUAGCGUUGUCCGGAAUCAUUGGGCGUAAAGCGCGUGUAGGCGGUCCGGUAAGUCCGCUGUGAAAGUCAGGGGCUCAACCCUUGAAAGCCGGCCGAUACUGUCGGACUAGAGUCCGGAAGAGGCAAGUGGAAUUCCCGGUGUAGCGGUGAAAUGCGCGGAUAUCGGGAGGAACACCAAUGGCGAAGGCAGCUUGCUGGGACGGUACUGACGCUGAGGCGCGAAAGCGUGGGGAGCAAACAGG